Long non-coding RNA from Gavialis gangeticus (Gharial), 88 nucleotides. RefSeq lists it as uncharacterized. Lineage: Eukaryota; Metazoa; Chordata; Crocodylia; Gavialidae. The record is from RefSeq and is a predicted model, not a curated record. The transcript is spliced from 4 exons.
UUUCUUGGAUUUCUGUUGGAUUUCAACAGGACAUUGGAGCAACAAGACAUUGGCCACUGUUGUCCCACUGCUUUACCUGUGGCAGGUU